CAAUCACGUCUCUUUCCCUUCACCCCAGAUUUAAGCACUUUAUUAGAAUUUGUUGGUAAUUAUUUUUUGGUAUUGGUUAUAGUUUAUCACAUAUAUGUCUGUCUAAAAAUAAGUGUUAAUAUUUAUUGGGUAUAAACCGAGGAGUGGGAUAGCUGGGUCAAAUGUUGGUUCCAUUCCAAGUUUUCUGAGGAAUCUCCAUAUUGCUUUCCAUAUUGGCUACACCAAUUUGCAGUCCCACCAGCAAUGUAUGAGAGUGCUUUUUUCCCCACAUACUGACCAACACUUAUUGUUGUUUGUAUUCUUAAUAGCUGCCAUUCUGACUGGAGUGAGAUGAAAUCUUAGAGUAGUUUUGAUUUUCAUAUUUACUAAUCUUUACAGAAAUAUAGUCAGACUACAUGUGACUUUUUUUCUUUAAAAACAUGCUUUUACAUUGUAUGUUUAUUUUGUAAUCCAAUAUUUUUAGUCCUCUGUGCAAAUUGUUUAUUCAUUACUCUUCUUAUGGAAAAUUGGGUUACUUAUAGCUUUUGGAUAUAACAUAUUCCUGCUAUGAGCACUAUUUUGCAAUCCUCUCAAUUCACAUUAAUAUAUAUAAUUUCAUAUGUUGUGUUGAUGAACAUAUUUUAGGUAUCCUUUAUUAAAAGCAUAAUAAAGAUACACCAAGUGUAUUUUCUCAAGGGUUAAAUAUUUAUUUGGAUUUAGAACACUGGAGUAAAAACAAUGUCAGAAUUUUUGAUGUUUUCUAUUUUGAAGUAUUCUAUCAUUUUUGUGUCCUACUAAAUAAUAUAAUGUUUUACUAAAUCUAUUUUUCACUUUGUCUUUUUUAUGAAAGCUAUAUUGGAUUCUUUGUUGCUAUCAUUUUCUAAAAGUGUACUAGAAUUAGAAUGUUUAUAAAUUACUUCAUUCACAGUGGUGAUCCUUUAGUAGUCAAACCCAGAGAUUUGCAUGUGUCAGGUAAUUGCUGU
RNAcentral lists this long non-coding RNA (962 nucleotides) under Marmota monax (woodchuck). The record is from RNAcentral. Lineage: Eukaryota; Metazoa; Chordata; Mammalia; Rodentia; Sciuridae.